This 217-nucleotide non-coding RNA is filed under the name Mesobacillus selenatarsenatis. RNAcentral's name for it is "Bacillus selenatarsenatis T-box sequence". It matches the Rfam family "T-box leader". From Rfam's summary of the family: Uncharged tRNA acts as the effector for transcription antitermination of genes in the T-box leader family. The record is from RNAcentral. Lineage: Bacteria; Bacillati; Bacillota; Bacilli; Caryophanales; Bacillaceae.
AAAAAAGCUAUGAGAGGGAAUAGUAGCUUGUAUCCAUUCCAAAGAGAGCCGGUGGUUGGUGCGAACCGGUGUAAGGUGCAAAUGAAUCCGCCCUCGAGCAGAGUAUGGAACGCCAUUAUGGCAAGUAAAUACUUUCGGUAAAAACCGUUAUUUUAUGAGUGGAAAGCAUUUUUGCUUUCAACUAGGGUGGCAACGCGGGUUAACUCUCGUCCCUUUU